GCCAGGCGUGGUGGCACACACCUGUAAUCCCAAUGGCUUGGGAGGCUGAGGCAGGAGGAUUGUGAGUUGAGAGCCAGCCUCAGCAACUUAGUGAGGCCCUGAGCAACUCAAUGAGACCCUGUCUCUA
Molecule: small RNA, 127 nt
Filed under: Marmota monax (woodchuck)
Lineage: Eukaryota; Metazoa; Chordata; Mammalia; Rodentia; Sciuridae
Source: RNAcentral